RNAcentral lists this Y RNA (112 nucleotides) under Prolemur simus (greater bamboo lemur). Its description in RNAcentral is "Y RNA (ENSPSMG00000024044.1)". It matches the Rfam family "Y RNA". From Rfam's summary of the family: Y RNAs are components of the Ro ribonucleoprotein particle (Ro RNP), in association with Ro60 and La proteins. The Y RNAs and Ro60 and La proteins are well conserved, but the function of the Ro RNP is not known. Lineage: Eukaryota; Metazoa; Chordata; Mammalia; Primates; Lemuridae. The record is from Rfam by way of RNAcentral.
GGCUGGUCCAAAGCUAGUGAGUUACCUCAGCUGAUUGUUCAGUCAGUUACAGAUUGAACUCCUUGUUCUACUACUUUCCCCGCUUCUCACUACUGCACUUGACUAGUCUAAA